RNAcentral lists this long non-coding RNA (1305 nucleotides) under Nicotiana benthamiana. RNAcentral's name for it is "long non-coding RNA (NBEN_LNC013741)". The record is from RNAcentral. Lineage: Eukaryota; Viridiplantae; Streptophyta; Magnoliopsida; Solanales; Solanaceae.
UAGGAAGUUCUUGGAGGGAAGGAUGCUGGGGGUCUAUUUGAAAACAGACUCUCUAUCACAGGGUAGGGGUAAUGUUUGCGUGCAUACUAUCCUUCCCAAAUCCUUAUAUUAUACUGGGUUAUUGUUGUUAUCGGCUCAUUUCUUUUGGGCAACGUUAGGGAGAGAGGGGUUCACUGAUACGUGAACGUGGACGUCGUUGUUGAGGAUUAAGUAGACGGUGCCGUUAAACCUGAAUUUCCUUUUUUUCUUUUGUAGUUUUCCUUAUUCCCCUUUUUUCUUUACAAACAAAAAGCAAAAGAGUAUUCUCUCUCUCACUCACUCUGUACAGAUGUUCAUCUCUUCUCAAUUCUACUCAAUUGCUCAAAGCUGAUCCGAUCUCAAUUCUCACUAUGUAUUUCUCAGUAAAAUCUCCUCUUCUGUAAAUUUAUGCACGUAUACAGAGUUUUAGACUGUUAGUUUUGGUUGUGAAUUAGCAAGGAGAGAAACAAUGGGGUGCACACAAUCGAAGAUCGAGAAUGAAGAAACUGUGACCCGAUGCAAAGAGCGAAAGUUUUUCAUGAAAGAAGCUGUAUCUUCCCGUAACGCUUUCGCCGCCGCCCACUCCGCUUACACUAUGUCUCUCAAAAACACUGGUGCUGCCCUUAGCGAUUACGCUCACGGCGAAGUUCAAUUCCCUUCUACUGCCGCCGUCGCCGCCUCCACCUCUUCCCCCUUACCCGGUGGUACUCCUCCCCUCUCUUCCACCCCCUUAGACAUGCCUCCUCCUCCUCCCCUCCCUCCGUUUUCCAAUCCUUCUUUCCCACCUUCCCCUCUUCAGCGUGCUGCCACUAUGCCCGAAAUAUCCAUCCCCGCACCUGAACCAAAACGAUCCGAUAUGAUUAUAGAAGAGGAAAACGAGGAUGAUAUGGAAACUGAAAGCACGCAUAGUUUAAGGCAUCGCAGUAGUAAAAGUAGCGGCGGAGGCGGUGGUGGAGGAAUUGGGGGAUUGCAAACGUCUCCUUCUCCACCACGGACACCGCCACAGAAUAAUCGAGCGCCUCCUCCUCCACCGCCGCCAGAUAGCAAGGGGAUGGCAUCCAUGUCAUGGGAUUUUUUCUUCCCUUCAAUGGACAACGUCCCUACCUGAACCGAAACGAUCCGAUAUGAUUAUAGAAGAGGAAAACGAGGAUGAUAUGGAAACUGAAAGCACUCAUAGUUUAAGGCAUCGUAGUAGUAAAAGUAGCGGCGGCGGCGGUGGUGCUGGAGGAAUUGGGGGAUUGCAAACGCCUCCUUCUCCACCACGGACACCGCCACAGAAUAAUCGAG